This 642-nucleotide ribosomal RNA is filed under the name Eutetrarhynchidae sp. 1 JB-2022. RNAcentral describes it as "partial large subunit ribosomal RNA". Lineage: Eukaryota; Metazoa; Platyhelminthes; Cestoda; Trypanorhyncha; Eutetrarhynchidae. The record is from RNAcentral.
CAAGCUGCAAGCCUGGAGGAUUCAGUUGGUCAUCGUGUUGUGUGCACGCCUUGGUGUGUCAGCCGGUAAUAGUAUGAGUAGUCCACUGGGAAACGGUGGGCCCGGCCGCAAGGUUGGGAUGUAUGUCCACACGGUUGGUGGUGUACGCUGCUUGACUACAGGGCUGGAUGGCCAAUGCACUUCCUCCAUAAAGGUGAACACCACGACCGGUGGAACUGCCAGUCUGGCACAGUCGAGUUGUAUCUAGUGCGGCAUUCGUGUCAACUGGGUGCAAUCACAGGCAUUCUCAGUGGACGGUGAGCUUGCUCAUGUUAUCGGUCACUGGUUGUCAACGGGUCUGUUCGUCGGUGCUUGUAAUGCCCGGUGGAUGGCCUGGUGGGCUGUGUUGGUAUGAAUAACUGUGCAGGGCACCGGAGUUAGCGGCCUCAAAUCCGGGUUGGCUCGUACAUUACAAGUACAGCAUGAUGGCGUUAAUGCGGCCUGUCGUUGGUCGGGUCUGAUUGUCGUGUUGCCCGCACAAAGUGGGUUCGGCAGUGGCCUGGUCGCGGUCGGCGUUGUAUUUGGCGUUGUCGUGUGUCAGCCGGUGUUGGUCUAAAAGUCUGUGGUGUAGUGGUAGACGAGCUACCCGACCCGUCUUGAAAC